ACGGCUAUAGGUUAAUGGUAGACCUUUCGUCUUCCAAACGAAUUGUGCCAUUUCGAAUUUGGCUAGCCGUA
Lasallia pustulata is the source of this 71-nucleotide non-coding RNA. The record is from Rfam. Lineage: Eukaryota; Fungi; Ascomycota; Lecanoromycetes; Umbilicariales; Umbilicariaceae.